Molecule: ribosomal RNA, 1101 nt
Filed under: Acanthamoeba genotype T4
Lineage: Eukaryota; Discosea; Longamoebia; Acanthamoebidae
Description: SSU rRNA
Rfam family: Eukaryotic small subunit ribosomal RNA
Source: RNAcentral
UGAGAAAUGUCUACCACUUCUAAGGAAGGCAGCAGGCGCGCAAAUUACCCAAUCCCGACACGGGGAGGUAGUGACAAUAAAUAACAAUACAGGCGCUCGAUAAGAGUCUUGUAAUUGGAAUGAGUACAAUUUAAACCCCUUAACGAGUAACAAUUGGAGGGCAAGUCUGGUGCCAGCAGCCGCGGUAAUUCCAGCUCCAAUAGCGUAUAUUAAAGUUGUUGCAGUUAAAAAGCUCGUAGUUGGAUCUAGGGACGCGCAUUUCAAGCGCCCGUGUCGUUGGGUCAAACCAGCGACUGCGUUGGCGUUGCGGGCUCGGUCCGUCGGUGCCACAAAGCAUCGGCGUGUCAACCGGCCCGCCCGUCCCCUCCUUCUGGAUUCCCGUUCCUGCUAUUGAGUUAGUGGGGACGUCACAGGGGGCCCAUCGUCGUCGUGCAAACGGCGGCGGUGGGUCCCUGGGGCCCAGAUCGUUUACCGUGAAAAAAUUAGAGUGUUCAAAGCAGGCAGAUCCAAUUUUCUGCCACCGAAUACAUUAGCAUGGGAUAAUGGAAUAGGACCCUGUCCUCCUAUUUUCAGUUGGUUUUGGCAGCGCGAGGACUAGGGUAAUGAUUAAUAGGGAUAGUUGGGGGCAUUAAUAUUUAAUUGUCAGAGGUGAAAUUCUUGGAUUUAUGAAAGAUUAACUUCUGCGAAAGCAUCUGCCAAGGAUGUUUUCAUUAAUCAAGAACGAAAGUUAGGGGAUCGAAGACGAUCAGAUACCGUCGUAGUCUUAACCAUAAACGAUGCCGACCAGCGAUUAGGAGACGUUGAAUACAAAACACCACCAUCGGUGCGGUCGUCCUUGGCGUCUCGGUUUCGGCCGGGGCGCGGGGAUGGCUUAGCCCGGUGGCACCGGUGAAUGACUCCCCUAGCAGCUUGUGAGAAAUCAUAAGUCUUUGGGUUCCGGGGGGAGUAUGGUCGCAAGGCUGAAACUUAAAGGAAUUGACGGAAGGGCACCACCAGGAGUGGAGCCUGCGGCUUAAUUUGACUCAACACGGGGAAACUUACCAGGUCCGGACAUAGUAAGGAUUGACAGAUUGAUAGCUCUUUCUUGAUGCUAUGGGUGGU